Long non-coding RNA from Saccostrea cuccullata (small rock oyster), 263 nucleotides. RefSeq lists it as uncharacterized. The transcript is spliced from 3 exons. Lineage: Eukaryota; Metazoa; Mollusca; Bivalvia; Ostreida; Ostreidae. The record is from RefSeq and is a predicted model, not a curated record.
UUAAUUUCCCUCAAAAUUAAAGACAACGCCAAUCUGCAACAUAAAGGAUGAGGACUAUUAUACUCCUUUGUAUUGUGCUUUUUACGUCUCUUCUGGUCGUGGAGGAAGUGGAAUCAAGCUGGUGGCGACGAAACUGUAGAUGUGGCUGCGCUUCGAAAGGAUGUGGAUGCACGUGCAGAUUGCGGAGAAGAAAGAGGAGUGUGGACGAAUCUGCAAGACUCCAUCGCCAGAUGAACUUCCCAGGGUAAUUAAAUUACACAUUG